RNAcentral lists this ribosomal RNA (256 nucleotides) under uncultured bacterium. Its description in RNAcentral is "partial 16S ribosomal RNA". It matches the Rfam family "Bacterial small subunit ribosomal RNA", at positions 524 to 776 of the family's 1533-position model. The record is from RNAcentral.
UACGAAGGGGGGCUAGCGUUGCUCGGAAUUACUGGGCGUAAAGGGCGCGUAGGCGGAUAGUUUAGUCAGAGGUGAAAAGCCCAGGGCUCAACCCUGGAAUUGCCUUUGAUACUGGCUAUCUUGAGUUCGGGGAGAGGUGAGUGGAACUCCGAGUGUAGAGGUGAAAUUCGUAGAUAUUCGGAAGAACACCAGUGGCGAAGGCGACUCACUGGCCCGAUACUGACGCUGAGGCGCGAAAGCGUGGGGAGCAAACAGG